RNAcentral lists this ribosomal RNA (492 nucleotides) under uncultured bacterium. RNAcentral's name for it is "partial 16S ribosomal RNA". It matches the Rfam family "Bacterial small subunit ribosomal RNA", at positions 29 to 507 of the family's 1533-position model. The record is from RNAcentral.
AGUGAACGCUGGCGGUAGGCCUAACACAUGCAAGUCGAACGGCAGCACAGUAAGAGCUUGCUCUUACGGGUGGCGAGUGGCGGACGGGUGAGGAAUACAUCGGAAUCUACUUUUUCGUGGGGGAUAACGUAGGGAAACUUACGCUAAUACCGCAUACGACCUACGGGUGAAAGCAGGGGAUCUUCGGACCUUUCGCGAUUGAAUGAGCCGAUGUCGGAUUAGCUAGUUGGCGGGGUAAAGGCCCACCAAGGCGACGAUCCGUAGCUGGUCUGAGAGGAUGAUCAGCCACACUGGAACUGGGACACGGUCCAGACUCCUACGGGAGGCAGCAGUGGGGAAUAUUGGACAAUGGGCGCAAGCCUGAUCCAGCCAUACCGCGUGGGUGAAGAAGGCCUUCGGGUUGUAAAGCCCUUUUGUUGGGAAAGAAAAGCAGCAGGUUAAUACCCCGCUGUUCUGAAGGUACCCAAAGAAUAAGCACCGGCUAACUUCGUG